Molecule: transfer RNA, 74 nt
Filed under: Marmota monax (woodchuck)
Lineage: Eukaryota; Metazoa; Chordata; Mammalia; Rodentia; Sciuridae
Description: tRNA.Lys
Source: RNAcentral
UGAAAAAUGGCUCAGUUGGUAGAGCAUGGGAUCCUUAAUCCCAGGGCCAGGGAUUCAAGCCCCACGUUGGGCAU